UGAAGAAUAUUGGGCAAUGGGCGAAAGCCUGACCCAGCAACGCCGCGUGAAGGAAGAAGGUUUUCGGAUUGUAAACUUCUGUCCCAUGGGAAGAAAAAAAUGACGGUACCAUGGGAGGAAGCCCAGGCUAACUACGUGCCAGCAGCCGCGGUAAUACGUAGGGGGCAAGCGUUGUCCGGAAUUAUUGGGCGUAAAGGGUGCGUAGGCGGCAUUUCAAGUUGGAUGUGAAAUCCCCAUGCUUAACAUGGGAAUUGCAUGUAAAACUGGAGGGCUUGAGUGUGGAAGAGGUAAGUGGAAUUCCCAGUGUAGCGGUGAAAUGCGUAGAUAUUGGGAGGAACACCAGUGGCGAAGGCGACUUACUGGGCCACAACUGACGCUGAGGCACGAAAGCGGGGGGAGCAAACA
RNAcentral lists this ribosomal RNA (405 nucleotides) under uncultured prokaryote. RNAcentral describes it as "bacterial SSU rRNA". It matches the Rfam family "Bacterial small subunit ribosomal RNA", at positions 355 to 774 of the family's 1533-position model. The record is from RNAcentral.